GAUGAACGCUGGCGGCGUGCCUAAUACAUGCAAGUCGAGCGAACAGACGAGGAGCUUGCUCCUUUGACGUUAGCGGCGGACGGGUGAGUAACACGUAGGUAACCUACCUAUAAGACUGGGAUAACUUCGGGAAACCGGAGCUAAUACCGGAUAAUAUUUCGAACCGCAUGGUUCGAUAGUGAAAGAUGGCUUUGCUAUCACUUAUAGAUGGACCUGCGCCGUAUUAGCUAGUUGGUAAGGUAACGGCUUACCAAGGCAACGAUACGUAGCCGACCUGAGAGGGUGAUCGGCCACACUGGAAGUGAGACACGGUCCAGACUCCGACGGGAGGAAGCAGUAGGGAAUCUUCCGCAAUGGGCGAAAGCCUGACGGAGCAACGCCGCGUGAGUGAUGAAGGUCUUCGGAUCGUAAAACUCUGUUAUUAGGGAAGAACAAACGUGUAAGUAACUGUGCACGUCUUGACGGUACCUAAUCAGAAAGCCACGGCUAACUACGUG
Molecule: ribosomal RNA, 497 nt
Filed under: uncultured bacterium
Lineage: Bacteria
Description: partial 16S ribosomal RNA
Rfam family: Bacterial small subunit ribosomal RNA
Source: RNAcentral